RNAcentral lists this transfer RNA (94 nucleotides) under Chloroflexota bacterium. RNAcentral describes it as "Chloroflexi bacterium (oil production facility metagenome) tRNA-Sec". It matches the Rfam family "Selenocysteine transfer RNA". The record is from RNAcentral. Lineage: Bacteria; Bacillati; Chloroflexota.
GGGGGUGGAUGAGUCCCGGUGGGCUCCGCGGUCUUCAAAACCGUUGAGGGGUGCGCAAGUGGCCCUGGUGGGUUCGACUCCCAUCCACUCCCGC